RNAcentral lists this ribosomal RNA (254 nucleotides) under uncultured bacterium. RNAcentral's name for it is "partial 16S ribosomal RNA". It matches the Rfam family "Bacterial small subunit ribosomal RNA", at positions 524 to 776 of the family's 1533-position model. The record is from RNAcentral.
CACGUAGGGUGCAAGCGUUGUCCGGAUUCAUUGGGCGUAAAGGGCUAGUAGGCGGCUUAGCAAGUCGGGUGUGAAAUUUCCAGGCUUAACCUGGAACCGCCAUCCGAUACUGCUAUGGCUAGAGUCCGGUAGGGGAGACUGGAAUUCCUGGUGUAGCGGUGGAAUGCGCAGAUAUCAGGAGGAACACCGGUGGCGAAGGCGGCCAUCUGGACCGCAACUGACGCUGAGGCGCGAAAGCGUGGGGAGCAAACAGG